Molecule: long non-coding RNA, 235 nt
Filed under: Elaeis guineensis (African oil palm)
Lineage: Eukaryota; Viridiplantae; Streptophyta; Magnoliopsida; Arecales; Arecaceae
Description: long non-coding RNA (EGUI_LNC033785)
Source: RNAcentral
CAUCAGAUGAUAAAGUUAUGAUCUUUUUACUAAGACUAUAUCAAAACUCUAUAGAAAUUGGUAGUACCUUGGAUAUACCUCAGAUACUUUAGUAUAUACCUUAGAUAGCUUAAUGUAUACCUCAGAUACCUAAAUGUAUACCUUGAAUGCACCAUGGAUACCUCAGAUUAGUCAGUAUCCUAUCAAAUAUAAUAGUUGUCAAGUCGAAUUUGCAUCCUUUCAGGUCCUAUCCCUC